CUACGGGUUGCAGCAGUGAGGAAUAUUGCACAAUGGGGGGAACCCUGAUGCAGCAACGCCGCGUGGAGGAUGACGCAUUUCGGUGUGUAAACUCCUUUUAUAUGUCAAGAAAAUGACGGUAGCAUAUGAAUAAGCACCGGCUAACUCCGUGCCAGCAGCCGCGGUAAUACGGAGGGUGCAAGCGUUACUCGGAAUCACUGGGCGUAAGGGACGCGUAGGCGGGUUGGAAAGUCAGGUGUGAAAUCCUACAGCUUAACUGUAGAACUGCACUUGAAACUUCUAAUCUAGAGUAUGGGAGGGGGAGAUGGAAUUAGUGGUGUAGGGGUAAUAUCCGUAGAUAUCACUAGGAAUACCUAAAGCGAAGGCGAUCUCCUGGAACAUUACUGACGCUAAGGCGUGAAAGCGUGGGGAGCAAACAGGAUUAGAUACCCCAGUAGUC
RNAcentral lists this ribosomal RNA (439 nucleotides) under uncultured bacterium. RNAcentral describes it as "partial 16S ribosomal RNA". It matches the Rfam family "Bacterial small subunit ribosomal RNA", at positions 339 to 795 of the family's 1533-position model. The record is from RNAcentral.